Long non-coding RNA from Brassica oleracea var. oleracea, 935 nucleotides. RefSeq lists it as uncharacterized. NCBI's taxonomy places the organism in Eukaryota, Viridiplantae, Streptophyta, Magnoliopsida, Brassicales, Brassicaceae. The transcript has 3 exons. The record is from RefSeq and is a predicted model, not a curated record.
CUUUUCCUUCAUAUAUCUCACCGUUUCUCAAGUCUCUCUCUAUCUCUCUGUUUCUACUUCUCUCUCUGAAACGAAACAGAGAGAAGAUCUCUCAUGGAUGAAAAAGUGAGACAUGAGUUUCUUCAAGGCAAUAUCAAAAACAUAACCAUCGUGAUGUAUAGAGACUGUCGGGUCCAUUGUGAGGAGACAUUCAGUUUCUCUUUAAAACUCCAUUGAAAUAGUCCGGUGUUAUCCCUACCUGAGCUUAGUUUUUUUGUUUUUGUUUUAUUUUUUUUUUUUUUGGUAACUCCGGUAUCUGGGCAGCCACAUUCUCAACUAUCCCCGUAGGGAGUCCAGCGCCCCAACGAAAGAGAUGUUAAAUCCGUUGUGGCCAAGGCUCGAACCCGGGUGGCGGGCAGUACAGCUGUACCUCCUUUACCACCAAGCCACGAGCGUUUGGUUUUUGUUUUAAUUUUUUUUCUGUUCUAUUGAAUUAUUCUAUUUUCUUGACCUUGCAAGACCUUUUCUUGACCUUGUAAGACCCCAUCCCUUUCUAAGUAUCUCAACCUUAUAUCCUUUUAAAGACUCUCUACUAUCUCUUUUUGGUGUUGAGUAUGUGUGUAUCUCUACUCCUAGUUCAUUUGAAUCAGUUUUUCUACCUUGUCUAUCCCUCCUGAGCUAAUGUUUGCAUCUUCUUGUUGGUCAUUGAUGAGGUGAAAAAUGUCUCGCUAUCAUGGGAACUGGUAAAGGGCAAUGAAUAAGGAACCGGGCAAAAAGAAUUAUGCCUUUACUCUCUAUUUUUAAGGCUUUGGACAGGAAUUUACUUUUGUUUUAUAUGUUGUGUUUGUUUGGGUCUGACUGACCCCCCAAAGGCCGAAGCCAAACCAAAGAACUCAUCUUAUUAAAUAUUCCCUCAGAAUCAUUUAUUGCCUGUUUCUCUCUCACUCGUGACUAUG